This is a non-coding RNA of Mesitornis unicolor (brown roatelo), 43 nucleotides long. The record is from Rfam. Lineage: Eukaryota; Metazoa; Chordata; Aves; Mesitornithiformes; Mesitornithidae.
AAAGGCUCUUUUCAGAGCCACCCACAAAAUCACUAGAAAGCUG